Non-coding RNA from Tachyglossus aculeatus (Australian echidna), 491 nucleotides. The record is from the annotation of a RefSeq genome assembly. NCBI's taxonomy places the organism in Eukaryota, Metazoa, Chordata, Mammalia, Monotremata, Tachyglossidae.
UCAAGCAGAUCGAGAUGGUGUCCCUGUCCCAGCUUCUUGGGCUCCUGCUGCUCUGGAUGCCAGACAUCAGUGGAGAGAAAGUGCUGACUCAGACUCCAGAAUUCCUGUCCAAGGCUCCAGGAGAGAAAGUCACCAUCAACUGCAAAGCCAGUGAGAGUGUUAGUAACCAUUUACACUGGUACCAGCAGAAAUCUGGACAAGCCCCGAAACUGAUCAUUAAGCAGGCCACCACCCUGAUGUCUGGGGUGCCGGCCCGAUUCAGCGGGAGCGGGUCCGGGACGGAUUUCACUCUGACCAUCAGUGGUAUGGAAGCUGACGAUGUUGCAGACUACUACUGUCAGCAAGGCUAUAACCUUCCCCCCCACAGUGCUCUAGCCCUGUGCAAAAACUCCCCCGGUUGGUCAAUCAGUGACGCUCUGCUGUCCCAGGAACUACCCGUCCCCCUGCAGCUGUUCUGGGGCUGUUCAGACAGCAUCUCUUUGUCUGUGUAG